This 520-nucleotide ribosomal RNA is filed under the name uncultured Staphylococcus sp. Its description in RNAcentral is "partial 16S ribosomal RNA". The record is from RNAcentral. Lineage: Bacteria; Bacillati; Bacillota; Bacilli; Caryophanales; Staphylococcaceae.
CACGUAGUUAGCCGUGGCUUUCUGAUUAGGUACCGUCAAGAUGUGCACAGUUACUUACACAUUUGUUCUUCCCUAAUAACAGAGUUUUUACGAGCCGAAACCCUUCAUCACUCACGCGGCGUUGCUCCGUCAGGCUUUCGCCCAUUGCGGAAGAUUCCCUACUGCUGCCUCCCGUAGGAGUCUGGACCGUGUCUCAGUUCCAGUGUGGCCGAUCACCCUCUCAGGUCGGCUACGUAUCGUCGCCUUGGUAAGCCGUUACCUUACCAACUAGCUAAUACGGCGCGGGUCCAUCUAUAAGUGAUAGCAAAACCAUCUUUCACUUUAGAACCAUGCGGUUCUAAAUGUUAUCCGGUAUUAGCUCCGGUUUCCCGAAGUUAUCCCAGUCUUAUAGGUACGGUUACCCACGUGUUACUCCACCCGUCCGCCGCUAACUUCAAAGGAGCAAGCUCCUUAUCUGUUCGCUCGACUUGCAUGUAUAGGCACGCGCCAGCGUUCACUCCUGACGCCGAGAUCAAACUCU